This 254-nucleotide ribosomal RNA is filed under the name Gonatodes riveroi. RNAcentral describes it as "partial small subunit ribosomal RNA". The record is from RNAcentral. Lineage: Eukaryota; Metazoa; Chordata; Lepidosauria; Squamata; Sphaerodactylidae.
AGGAGCCUGUCCUUUAAUCGAUACCCCACGUUAAACCUCACCCCCCUUUGCCAAUCCAGCCUAUAUACCGCCGUCGAAAGCCUACCUUGUGAAAGAACCCCAGUGGACAAAAUAGUCACCCCCCCCCUCACACGUCAGGUCAAGGUGUAGCUAANAGGGAGGGAAGAGAUGGGCUACAAUCUCUCUAACCCAGAGCCCCGCAAGUGGCAUGAAACACACCCUGAAAGCAGGAUUUAGCAGUAAACUUAACAAGC